AUGAUUUGACGAAAGAAAAUCUGUCUUAGCUUAUUAAAAAAAAAUUAACCUAGAAGUUAAAAGGCUUCUAUUUCCUAAAGGGACGACAAGACCCUAUAAAGCUUUAUUUAUAAUAUUUUUAUUUAUUUCAAUAAAAAAUACAAAUUUAUAAAUUCUAUUGGGGCGAUAAAUAAAUAAACAUUAUUAACUAUAACGUUUUUAACGAAAUUUAUAAAAUAUUUUUAAAAUCUACAACAAGUUACUUUAGGGAUAACAGCAUAAUUUCUUUUUAGAGUCCUUAUCGACAAAGAAGAUUAUGACCUCGAUGUUGGAUUAAG
RNAcentral lists this ribosomal RNA (317 nucleotides) under Tylos sp. clade H MM-2013. RNAcentral describes it as "partial 16S large subunit ribosomal RNA". The record is from RNAcentral. Lineage: Eukaryota; Metazoa; Arthropoda; Malacostraca; Isopoda; Tylidae.